GUGAAUCAUCGAAUUUUUGAACGCAAAUUGCACUUUCUGGUAUUCCGGAAAGUAUGCCUGUUUGAGGGUCAGUGAAAUAUUAAUCGGUGUUUUUGCUGCCUUUCGUGGUGACACGUCGGAAUUGGGUCGUGUUACCUGCGGUUAAGUGACUUAAAAUUUUUGCAUGUUUUUCUAACGUAUUUAAAUCGUGUACGUACGCUUGAGAUAUCGAUUGCUUAUUGGGUUUGGUGCUUCCUAUGAUUCGUGG
RNAcentral lists this unclassified non-coding RNA (247 nucleotides) under Glomus sp. RNAcentral's name for it is "partial contains 5.8S ribosomal RNA and internal transcribed spacer 2". The stretch from base 1 to 71 matches the Rfam family "5.8S ribosomal RNA", at positions 84 to 154 of the family's 154-position model. Lineage: Eukaryota; Fungi; Glomeromycota; Glomeromycetes; Glomerales; Glomeraceae. The record is from RNAcentral.